AAGCUCGUAGUUGAAUUUCGGUUAAUAAGAAAUUUACGGUCCACUUUUCGAAGUGUGAACUAAAAUCUUAUUUCCUUCCUUCUAGAUUUACUCCUUUUACUAUUCGUAGUAUUGGGAUAAAAGUAAUCUAGAUCUUUUACUGUGAAGAAAUUAGAGUGUCCAAAGCAGGCGUAACCUAGCCUUUGAAUAUAUUAGCAUGGGAUAAUGAAAUAGGACUUGAGUUCUACUUUCGUUGGUUUCUAGGGCUUAAGUAAUGAUUAAUAGGGAUAGUUGGG
RNAcentral lists this ribosomal RNA (275 nucleotides) under uncultured eukaryote. RNAcentral describes it as "partial 18S ribosomal RNA". It matches the Rfam family "Eukaryotic small subunit ribosomal RNA", at positions 624 to 886 of the family's 1831-position model. The record is from RNAcentral.